RNAcentral lists this ribosomal RNA (395 nucleotides) under uncultured bacterium. RNAcentral's name for it is "bacterial SSU rRNA". It matches the Rfam family "Bacterial small subunit ribosomal RNA", at positions 28 to 419 of the family's 1533-position model. The record is from RNAcentral.
GAUGAACGCUAGCGGCAGGCUUAAUACAUGCAAGUCGAGGGGCAGCGGGGGUAGCAAUACCUGCCGGCGACCGGCAAACGGGUGCGGAACACGUACAGAACCUUCCUUUAAGUGGGGAAUAGCCCGGAGAAAUCCGGAUUAAUACCCCGUAAUAUUAUGGAGUGGCAUCACUUUAUAAUUAUAGAUUUAUCGCUUAGAGAUGGCUGUGCGGCUGAUUAGGUAGUUGGUGUAGGUAACGGCUCACCAAGCCUGCGAUCAGUAACUGGUGUGAGAGCACGACCAGUCACACGGGCACUGAGACACGGGCCCGACUCCUACGGGAGGCAGCAGUAAGGAAUAUUGGUCAAUGGACGCAAGUCUGAACCAGCCAUGCCGCGUGAAGGAUGAAGGCCCUC